AUCUGUCUACACAAUUGAUUUCAAUUAACGUUUUAGGCACACGAGCCAUUAGAUGACUUAUAUAAAAUAAAUUUGUCAAAACAAUCUCCACAGAUCAUCAGUCAGAUUCAAAUAUUCAUAUCCAGACUUACAGGUACAAACAUAGGCAUAAAUGUGUAUGGCUUAUUUGUAAUCGAUCAUUCAACAAUACUUAUGGUGUUUGGGACAAUAAUUUCGUAUGCUGUAAUUGUCGUUCAAUUUUCUCUAACCCCAAACUGUCAAACUGUCU
This is a long non-coding RNA of Mytilus trossulus (common blue mussel), 268 nucleotides long. RefSeq lists it as uncharacterized. NCBI's taxonomy places the organism in Eukaryota, Metazoa, Mollusca, Bivalvia, Mytilida, Mytilidae. The record is from RefSeq and is a predicted model, not a curated record. The transcript is spliced from 3 exons.